This 1394-nucleotide ribosomal RNA is filed under the name uncultured bacterium. Its description in RNAcentral is "partial 16S ribosomal RNA". It matches the Rfam family "Bacterial small subunit ribosomal RNA". The record is from RNAcentral.
GAAUUCGCCCUUAGAGUUUGAUCCUGGCUCAGGACGAACGCUGGCGGCGUGCUUAACACAUGCAAGUCGAACGGUGACGAGGACUUCGGUCCUCUGAUCAGUGGCGGACGGGUGAGUAACGCGUGAGUAACCUGCCUCGGAGUGUGGAAUAACGCAUGGAAACGUGCGCUAAUACCGCAUAAUGUAUCUGGGUGGCAUCACUUGGAUACCAAAGGAGCAAUUCGCUCUGAGAUGGACUCGCGUCCAAUUAGCUAGUUGGUGAGGUAAUGGCCCACCAAGGCGACGAUUGGUAGCCGGACUGAGAGGUUGGCCGGCCACAUUGGGACUGAGACACGGCCCAGACUCCUACGGGAGGCAGCAGUGGGGAAUAUUAGGCAAUGGGGGAAACCCUGACCUAGCAACGCCGCGUGAAGGAUGAAGGUUUUCGGAUUGUAAACCUCUGUCCUUGGUGACGAAGGAAGUGACGGUAGCCAAGGAGGAAGCCCCGGCUAACUACGUGCCAGCAGCCGCGGUAAUACGUAGGGGGCGAGCGUUGUCCGGAAUGACUGGGCGUAAAGGGCGCGUAGGCGGCCAUUUAAGUUAGGAGUGAAAGUCCCGCUUUCAAGGUGGGAAUUGCUUUUAAUACUGAAUGGCUUGAGUGCGGAAGAGGUAAGUGGAAUUCCCAGUGUAGCGGUGAAAUGCGUAGAGAUUGGGAGGAACACCAGUGGCGAAGGCGACUUACUGGGCCGUAACUGACGCUGAGGCGCGAAAGCGUGGGGAGCGAACAGGAUUAGAUACCCUGGUAGUCCACGCUGUAAACGAUGGAUGCUAGGGAGUGGGAGGUAUCGACCCCUUCCGUGCCGCAGUUAACGCAAUAAGCAUCCCGCCUGGGGGAGUACGGCCGCAAGGUUGAAACUCAAAGGAAUUGGACGGGGGCCCGCACAAGCAGAGGAGCAUGUGGUUUAAUUGAACGCAACGCGAAGAACCUUACCAGGGCUUGACAUCUGAUUAAAGCUGUGGAAACACAGUGUGACUUCGGUCAAAUCAAGACAGGUGGUGCAUGGUUGUCGUCAGCUCGUGCCGUGAGGUGUCGGCUUAAGUGCCAUAACGAGCGCAACCCUUGUCCUCAGUUGCCAUCAGGUAAUGCUGGGCACUCUGUGGAGACUGCCAUCGCAAGAUGUGAGGAAGGUGGGGAUGACGUCAAAUCAGCACGGCCCUUACGUCCGGGGCUACACACGUGUUACAAUGGGGGGUACAGCGAGCCGCUUCCUGGCGACAGGUGGCCAAUCUUUAAAUCCCCUCUCAGUUCGGACUGGAGUCUGCAACCCGACUCCACGAAGCUGGAUUCGCUAGUAAUCGCGCAUCAGCCAUGGCGCGGUGAAUACGUUCCCGGGCCUUGCACACACCGCCCGUCA